RNAcentral lists this ribosomal RNA (497 nucleotides) under uncultured bacterium. RNAcentral's name for it is "partial 16S ribosomal RNA". It matches the Rfam family "Bacterial small subunit ribosomal RNA", at positions 28 to 507 of the family's 1533-position model. The record is from RNAcentral.
GAUGAACGCUGGCGGCGUGCCUAAUACAUGCAAGUCGAGCGAACAGACGAGGAGCUUGCUCCUCUGACGUUAGCGGCGGACGGGUGAGUAACACGUGGAUAACCUACCUAUAAGACUGGGAUACCUUCGGGAAACCGGAGUUAUUACCGGAAAAUAUUUUAACCCCAUUGUUCAAUUGUGAAAAGAGGGUUUUCUUUUACCUUAUGAUUGGAUCCGCGCCGCAUAAGCUAGUUGGUAAGGUAACGGCUUACAAAGGCAACGAUGCGUAGCCGACCUGAGAGGGUGAUCGGCCACACUGGAACUGAGACACGGUCCAGACUCCUACGGGAGGCAGCAGUAGGGAAUCUUCCGCAAUGGGCGAAAGCCUGACGGAGCAACGCCGCGUGAGUGAUGAAGGUCUUCGGAUCGUAAAACUCUGUUAUUAGGGAAGAACAAAUGUGUAAGUAACUAUGCACGUCUUGACGGUACCUAAUCAGAAAGCCACGGCUAACUACGUG